GCCUGGGUGGCUCAGUUGGUUAAGCAUCUGACUUCGGCUCAGGUCAUGAUCUCACUGCUCGUGAGUUCGAGCCCCACGUCAGGCU
Molecule: transfer RNA, 85 nt
Filed under: Felis catus (domestic cat)
Lineage: Eukaryota; Metazoa; Chordata; Mammalia; Carnivora; Felidae
Rfam family: tRNA
About the family: Transfer RNA (tRNA) molecules are approximately 80 nucleotides in length.
Source: Rfam by way of RNAcentral